This 468-nucleotide ribosomal RNA is filed under the name uncultured bacterium. RNAcentral describes it as "partial 16S ribosomal RNA". It matches the Rfam family "Bacterial small subunit ribosomal RNA", at positions 28 to 507 of the family's 1533-position model. The record is from RNAcentral.
GACGAACGCUGGCGGCGUGCUUAACACAUGCAAGUCGAACGGAAAGGCCCUGCUUUUGUGGGGUGCUCGAGUGGCGAACGGGUGAGUAACACGUGAGUAACCUGCCCUUGACUUUGGGAUAACUUCAGGAAACUGGGGCUAAUACCGGAUAGGAGCUCCUGCUGCAUGGGGGGGGUUGGAAAGAUUCGGCGGUUGGGGAUGGACUCGCGGCUUAUCAGCUUGUUGGUGGGGUAGUGGCUUACCAAGGCUUUGACGGGUAGCCGGCCUGAGAGGGUGACCGGCCACAUUGGGACUGAGAUACGGCCCAGACUCCUACGGGAGGCAGCAGUGGGGAAUAUUGCACAAUGGGCGGAAGCCUGAUGCAGCAACGCCGCGUGCGGGAUGACGGCCUUCGGGUUGUAAACCGCUUUCGCCUGUGACGAAGCGUGAGUGACGGUAAUGGGUAAAGAAGCACCGGCUAACUACGUG